AGAGUUUGAUCCUGGCUCAGAAUCAACGCUGGCGGCGUGCCUCAGACAUGCAAGUCGAACGCGAAAGUUUCCUUCGGGAGAUGAGUAGAGUGGCGCACGGGUGAGUAACACGUAGGUAAUCUACCUUCGGGUGGGGAAUAACCCAGGGAAACUUGGGCUAAUACCGCAUAAUGCAGCGGCACCACAUGGUGACAGUUGUUAAAGCGGGGGAUCUUCGGAUCUCGCGCCUGAAGAGGAGCCUGCGGCAGAUUAGCUAGUUGGUAAGGUAACGGCUUACCAAGGCGACGAUCUGUAGCCGGCCUGAGAGGGCGGUCGGCCACACUGACACUGACAUACGGGUCAGACUCCUACGGGAGGCAGCAAUCGGGAAUUUUGGGCAAUGGGCGAAAGCCUGACCCAGCAACGCCGCGUGAAGGAUGAAAUCCCUCGGGAUGUAAACUUCGCAAGAAUAGGAAGAAUUAGUAGGGGUUAAUACCCUCUAUGAUGACGGUACUAUUUAAGCCCCCCC
This 508-nucleotide ribosomal RNA is filed under the name uncultured soil bacterium. Its description in RNAcentral is "bacterial SSU rRNA". It matches the Rfam family "Bacterial small subunit ribosomal RNA", at positions 8 to 497 of the family's 1533-position model. The record is from RNAcentral.